AGGGAAGUUGCGGUAAAAUUAAGAUAAUCAGUAUAGUGCCAGUGUUUCCUGACACUGGCAGUUCCCAAAAUCUAGUCCAGACCUCUCUCCUGAACUUUAGACAUAUGUAUCCAAUUUUCCACUUGAUAUUUCCACUGGGAUGUCUAAAUGAUUUUUCAAACUCACUCCCAACCAUCUACACAUUUCCCUUAGAGUAAAAACUGCCAAAGCUCUCACAUCAGCCUAAAAGGUUCUAAAUGAUCGGAGAUCUGCUCCCUCUCACCUCAUCUUCUACCAUUCUCUCCGUCCCUCUCUUCUCUCCUGCCAAACUGUUAUCUUUUCCUUGAAAAAGGUCACUUCCUUACCACCUUGGCUUAAAUUGUAAUCUUCUCAAUAAAGGCUCCUCUGACCAUGCUAUACAAAAAUGCAUUCACCUCAUGCCAGGCAGCAUUUUGAUGUGCUUUUUUUUUUGUUGUUGUUCCUAACCCUUACCUUAUAACAUUCUGUGUAAUUUACAAUCUUUUUCUUUAUGUUUAUUGUUUAUUUUCUGUCACCUCUCACUAGAAUGAAAACUCCACCAAGGCAGACAGAUUUUUCUGCUUAUUUUUUUCUCUGACCUAUCUUAAGCACCUAGCAUAGUGUCUGGCACAUAUAUUUGUCAAACGAUGAAUGCUUAUAAAAUUGGAAUCAAGUCUACACUAGUUGUGGAGGGCCUCAGUGCCAUACUAAAGAGAGGAAGCUUAAUUAGAAAGCCAGCAGCAUCACCCAGAGAGUUUUGAGAGGUGCCACGUGAAGAAGCACUGCUAUGAGGCCAAACCUGUAUUAGAGUUUCACUUGUGUUGCUGUAGAGAGAAAAGAAGCAGAAGCAAGUCAAAGCCUAUGGAAAUGAUGUUAUGUGGUGAUAAGAUCAGAAGUAGAAUGAUGCUAGUAGGAAAAAGGAAGCACGGAUGCAACAGAUUAAAAAGAAACAAUGGGAGGACUCAAAGUCUGAUCACCAUGAAAAAAUAAGGUUAAUUUUAUGUGAUUGAGAAAUUAUCAGGCAUGAAGGAAAAGUUGUGAUUUUUUUGAGGAAAAGAUGCAAUAUUUCAUUUUAGGUAAGAGUAUAUUUGAAAUAAUGCUGGACAUUCCAAGAAAAUAAACCAGUGUUCAGUAGAGCUGUGGACAGGAACUGCAGGUGAUCUCAGAGAGAUCUCAUAAGAGAUCUCAUAGUUGGCUGCAGAAGGAAGAGAGCUGAAUCCAUGGAGUCAAGUGAAGUCUAGAAAGAGGAGACUGUGAAGCAAGAAAGGGAGACAGUCAAAAAGGAACUUGGGGGCUGCCCAAAAUUACAGAAAAAGUGACAUAAUUGAAUAGUAAAGAAAUGGAGAAGCUGGAAGGAUGGAGAAGAAUCAGGGUGACAGAAUCUGGUUAAAGAGAAUAAGUACUGAAAGAAAGAAAUUGAACUUAAAAAGAAGACAAUUUUAAAAGAGUGGUCCAGCACUAUAUUUCGGUAGAGUCAAUUGUAAGUAACUGAAGGUUAAAGGCUAAAGAAUUUAGAUAUUUGUAGGAAUAAAAAUUGCAAAGGAGUAUCUUUCUCUCUCUCUCUUUUUUUUUUCCUAAUCAUCCAAGAAUUUUGCACAUUUGUAUGAAGAGAAAGAGCCCCAGGACGGCAAAAGACUGACGCUCGUAAGGCAAAAUAGCCCUUGAUGAAAUGAGUAAACUAUCCGUUUCAGAAAGGAGAAAAUUCCCAAACAGGCCACUCUUCCUUCCUGUUUUGCUAAUCUUGGUUUCACCAAGAGAAACUGAGAUUAGUCGGGACAGAGGACCAGUUCCUGCCUCAUUCCUCCUAUUCCCUUCACAGGAAGCUCAGUAUGUGAGAGCUCUGAGCGGAUUGGUUCAGUGGAUAAUGGGAAGCCGAUAUUGAGUGAAGAUAAGCAUUAUUCAAGCUGUAAAUCAAGAAAAUUAAAAGACUCAGAAGACACAUACCAAUAAUGGAUAAAACAUAAAAAAUAAAACUGAAAAGAUAUGCAGCUGGACUUGAAAGCAAGAUAAACACUCUGAGGAGCCAGAAACACAUGAAAUGAACAGGGCUGAAGUGACAGCUGUUUGGGCCAUUGGCUCUGUGGAGCAGGAAUUGGAUUAUUUCUGUGGGAAAGGAGAAUGCAAAUGCUUCCUACAAGUCCAAAGCUAGGCUCAUGACUGAAGCCAGGUCUGAGGGUGGUAUGAGGCUUUCUGAAAAACGAAAGGAGACUGAAUAUCAAAAAUGUGCUGGUCACUGUCUGGGAUAGAGCUUUAAGCAAGCGAUAGAUCUGGGAAGUAGGGAGACGCAGGCUCAGCCUUGUAACCAGAUGAAUCAAACUGUCUGCUGGCUCUGUGAGGCCCCAAAAAUCACUACAAAGAAGAAACUCAAAAGUCCAUUAAAAAAUCGGGUCUGGAGUUGAAGGAAGAUUUGGGUGGAGGCAAACUCGAAGCUGCUAGACCUGUACAUGUGGAAGUUUAUGGGGGAGGGAAAGGAGAAACAAGCAUAUAAAAACAUAAAAACCCUUCACAGGAACAGAGUCUACAAACUAAAAUCCCAAAAUAUGUAAAUAAAUAUAAAGUUAAUAAAGUGAAUCAACAAAACCAAUAGUCAGAAUCACUCUGUAUGAAAUUAUUAUUUUUGGAAAUUCUGAUGAAGAUUUAAAAAUGUCAGCCCAGGACACUUUAGAAGGUGGUAUGAUGGUAGCCAUGUAGCUCUAGAUAUCUUAUCAUGUCAUUCUAAAAACCAUGUGAGUGAAAAAGAGAGCAAAUACACAAAUGCACAACCUAUGUCUACAGCAUUCUGAGGAGGCAAAGAAGACUACAAACUCCAACUUAACAGGAAGUGAGAAAUAAAGACUGAAGUUUAUUUAGCAGAGGCGGACCCAGAGUCCAUGGGGAUGCAGGGAGUAUGAUGAGCAUGCAUGGAAGAUGGAGGAGAGUAGAUAACAA
Long non-coding RNA from Equus caballus (horse), 2925 nucleotides. Lineage: Eukaryota; Metazoa; Chordata; Mammalia; Perissodactyla; Equidae. The record is from Ensembl.